GGACGCCAGUCUGCAUGGAGCCGACCUUGAAAUACCACCCUUUAAUGUUUGAUGUUCUAACGUGGACCCGUAAUCCGGGUUGCGGACAGUGUCUGGUGGGUAGUUUGACUGGGGCGGUCUCCUCCUAAAGAGUAACGGAGGAGCACGAAGGUUGGCUAAUCCUGGUCGGACAUCAGGAGGUUAGUGCAAUGGCAUAAGCCAGCUUGACUGCGAGCGUGACGGCGCGAGCAGGUGCGAAAGCAGGUCAUAGUGAUCCGGUGGUUCUGAAUGGAAGGGCCAUCGCUCAACGGAUAAAAGGUACUCCGGGGAUAACAGGCUGAUACCGCCCAAGAGUUCAUAUCGACGGCGGUGUUUGGCACCUCGAUGUCGGCUCAUCACAUCCUGGGGCUGAAGUAGGUCCCAAGGGUAUGGCUGUUCGCCAUUUAAAGUGGUACGCGAGCUGGGUUUAGAACGUCGUGAGACAGUUCGGUCCCUAUCUGCCGUGGGCGCUGGAGAACUGAGGGGGGCUGCUCCUAGUACGAGAGGACCGGAGUGGACGCAUCACUGGUGUUCGGGUUGUCAUGCCAAUGGCACUGCCCGGUAGCUAAAUGCGGAAGAGAUAAGUGCUGAAAGCAUCUAAGCACGAAACUUGCC
Molecule: ribosomal RNA, 633 nt
Filed under: Escherichia coli
Lineage: Bacteria; Pseudomonadati; Pseudomonadota; Gammaproteobacteria; Enterobacterales; Enterobacteriaceae
Description: partial 23S ribosomal RNA
Rfam family: Bacterial large subunit ribosomal RNA
Source: RNAcentral